CCAAGUCUAAUCUACCUAUUACAUAUAAAUUACUGCAAUUUGUUUUCUUUUCAAUGACUUCUUGUUUCAGAAGAGCUUGAAGAUGCUAUUUUUGAGAAGCCAAAACAGCAGGGAAAAUAUAUCAUUGUAUUUGAUCCUUUGGAUGGAUCCUCAAAUAUUGAAUCUGGUGUUUCUAUUGGAACUAAACUAUUAAAGCUUCUGCUAUGGUCCGAGCGAUCACCAUUGUCAACCUUAGUGCUUUCCAAAAAGGGUAGAAUCUGCUAUCCAAGUUGGUGCCUCAACAAGAACAAGUCAGAGGCUAGUGUGUUAGUUUAGCAUGUAGCAAUUGUCUAGUUUCCAUGUUGAGAAUAGACUCAAGGAAGAG
Non-coding RNA from Arachis ipaensis, 364 nucleotides. The record is from RefSeq and is a predicted model, not a curated record. Lineage: Eukaryota; Viridiplantae; Streptophyta; Magnoliopsida; Fabales; Fabaceae.